GCAGUUAAAAUAGUAAAUAUAUUAGGUUAUGUUUAGAAUAGGCUAAGAGAGAUUAACUAAUAUAUUUAUUAUGUAGUGUGAGUUCUCUUUGGUAUAAUUGAAAUGAUGAACAAUAUAGUUUUAAGCUUAUAAAUUGAUGAUUUAUUUAUUGAUGAUUAUAAAAGAUAAUAUAUCCAUUAAUAUAACUUUAUGUUAAAAAAGUAAACCACCUAAAUAUUA
RNAcentral lists this unclassified non-coding RNA (219 nucleotides) under Hevea brasiliensis (rubber tree). Lineage: Eukaryota; Viridiplantae; Streptophyta; Magnoliopsida; Malpighiales; Euphorbiaceae. The record is from RNAcentral.